Long non-coding RNA from Raphanus sativus (radish), 647 nucleotides. RefSeq lists it as uncharacterized. The record is from RefSeq and is a predicted model, not a curated record. The transcript has 2 exons. NCBI's taxonomy places the organism in Eukaryota, Viridiplantae, Streptophyta, Magnoliopsida, Brassicales, Brassicaceae.
CAAUGUCUUUCUCGUAUUUAUUAGUUUAUUUUAAAAUGUUGUCGUUCUAAAAAAAAGAAAUGUUAUAAUACUCUCUGUUUUGCUUAUAUAAGGAGAGGUUGUAAUGUCCAUACAGAAGCCAGAUCAAGCUCCAUGAGAUAGGGAAAACGAAGCUCUCCUUAUUCAAUAAUCAAUAAGUCAGCCGAUCGAUCUUUAGAGAGAUUGGUCGUCCAUUGUAUGGCGGCUUGACCGCCGUUCAUCUGGCUUGACGGUUCGACUCACUCUGAGCCAUGGUAAAAGUAAUCUCAGGCUUAAACCAUUAGGAGAAGGAGAAGAUAUUUUAGACGUGGGUGGGAUUUUAGGGAUAAAGAUGGAAUAUUGAUAAAUUACGUACAUGGUCGGAUUAUAAUAUAAUUAAACCGGAUUAAAGUUUUGAUCAGUGGAUUGCUCUGAAGUCUCAACUAAGUGGGGGCUGGUAUUCCAAUCUUGUAUCAAUUAGUAUAAUAAAGCAUAAGCAUCAACGUAUUAGAAUAUUCUCCAAUCUAUGUUUUGUCCAUCCUGCAUUAGUCGUAAUGCGGAGUUACUUCUCUAAAUGUGUGUCAAAAGGCAAGUCAUUUUUUCUGGCUAUCAUGUAUUGCAGUAUUGGUUAGUUUUCCACUAGUUGUAUC